Molecule: long non-coding RNA, 270 nt
Organism: Fundulus heteroclitus (mummichog)
Lineage: Eukaryota; Metazoa; Chordata; Actinopteri; Cyprinodontiformes; Fundulidae
Exons: 2
Source: RefSeq, a predicted model, not a curated record
CAGAGGGAGCGACAGUGCGGCUAGCUUGCUGCGGCUAGCUUACUAACAUCACGGCUGCUAACCGGGACGAGGCCAACGUCCGGCAGCUAACCGACCUAACAGAGAAAACAACCAGUGGAAAACGACGCGUUGGAUUGACAACAGGCAGAGGUAAAACUCUGCCUUGUCCGGUGUCUGUGUUCACAGAGAGACAGCGCAGUGGCCUCCAACUGCUGAGCAGGAGCCUUAAGGAAGCGACAGGCAAAAAGAAGCGAAAUAAUGCCUCCAAAA